Long non-coding RNA from Alosa sapidissima (American shad), 291 nucleotides. RefSeq lists it as uncharacterized. NCBI's taxonomy places the organism in Eukaryota, Metazoa, Chordata, Actinopteri, Clupeiformes, Clupeidae. The transcript has 2 exons. The record is from RefSeq and is a predicted model, not a curated record.
GAACAAGUAGCCCUAACAAAACACGACACAUGCUCGUUACUGCCACCUCUGGCCAGACCUGUUUACAUCACUUUGCCCUGUUGGAAGAAAAGCACAUGGAGGAAUCAUCUCAACUUUCAUCCGACGUAAUCCGUCAAUAUUCAGUGUUUUUGAAGAGUGUUAAUGAAGUGGACCUGUAAACUGAGCCCAUUUUCAACGUGGAAUCAGAGGGUCAUCAGAAGACAUACUCUGAAGCACGGACAGCACAGCCACUUUUGCCCCUUGCUCUGCAUGUUUUAUCACCUUCAGAAG